RNAcentral lists this long non-coding RNA (3259 nucleotides) under Monodelphis domestica (gray short-tailed opossum). Its description in RNAcentral is "lncRNA (ENSMODG00000050716.1)". Lineage: Eukaryota; Metazoa; Chordata; Mammalia; Didelphimorphia; Didelphidae. The record is from RNAcentral.
AUGUUGGAGGAAAACGAGACACUCAUACACUGUUGGUGGAGCUGUGCCACAGUCCAACAAAGUUGGAGAGCAGUUCGGAGUCUCAUCCGGAGAAUCAUAAACCAUUGUUGGGUCUGUUUCCAGGGGAGAAGAACCCUUAAGUUCCAGGCUAUUCACAGCAGCUCCCCGCUGGGGUCAGGUGGAUAUACAAAAGGGCGGGUAGCCACAGAAAGGAUUUUUGCUCUGGUUCUGUCAAAGGAGUUUCCAAAACUCCUCCCCAAGAACUGGAGUGUGUGCCAGGGCCGAGUCCUCACAAUGGGGAGGAGCCAGGAGAGACCACGCCCCAUUACAGCAAUUCUCCAAUACUACUCAGGGAGGUAUGGAACACUUCUUUCUCUGGGGAAUUUGAAGGAAUUGUGCCUGUUCACUCUCUUCCUCCCAACUAGGGAAGUCCCUAAUAUUUUAUCCAAUUACAAACCAGAUUGUUUAAUAUUGUUUCCUGUUAACGAGUUGGUCAUCUUUGAUUGUUUUUUAAUGUAUAAGUCUACUCUCCCCCAUUUAGAGUCCAGCCCUAAAUUGAGGAAGAGGCUUGAUCCCAAUGUUAGCCAAAUGGCACUCAUCACUUAAUAAAUCAAACCUGUUUCCUCAGUCAUUUUGUCUUCAACUCUUACCUACCUCACACCCGAAUUAAUACAAAAGGUGGGUCUGCCUGCCUCCAAUCAUCUUCCAUUCAGCCACCUAAAUGGUUUUUCUCAAGUCAGUCUGAUCAUGUAACCCCAACCCUCAAUACACUCCAACAGAUCAAAAUGGCUCCAAAGAUCCAAAGUAAAAUCCUGUUUGAGCUUCAAAGCCUUUCCUUACCUGCCCCUCUCCUUUCCAGUCUUCCUCCAGCCUCCUCUCCCACCACUCUUUGAUCCAGUGACCCUGGCCUCCCGGCCCGACCAUGGACAAGUCUACACCUCCAGUCUCUGAGCUUUGACUCCGGCUGUGCCCCAGGCUGGCAGGCGCUCCAUCCUCUGCUCACUUCAGCAAGUCCCAACAAACUCACCUCCCCAUGUAGCGGCAUCCGUCUCAAAGAGAAGUGGAUCCCCGCAGGCUGCUGCCCCAGCUAGCCCCAACCCCGCCUCAUUUCCCACUGGCCCUGCAGAUGGCCUUGCUGGACCCUUUUGCUCCAGAAUGGCAGCUCCUCGAGGGCGGGAGCUGUCCUUGGCCUCUUUCUACGUCCUCUGCAUUUGGCAGUGUCUGGCACACAAUGGGUGCUUCACCCACAUUUAACUGUGGAUAAGGAACAGUCAGGGCAGGAAUGGGCAGGGUCAGCUGUCUGGAGGACUAAAGACAAGAGUUGGGGGGAGGGCACAGAAUGGAGAGGGACAGGGUGGAGGGGCAGAGAGGGAGGAGGCGGCACAGGGUCACCCCAGGGGGAGCUGGCAACAUGGACUCCAGGGGCUGCGGGAGGGAUCAACAGGAAAAGUUGGAGGGGAAUCCUUGGCCAAACUCUCUAGGACAGGCCUCCCCGCGUGUGAGCCCAGGUACCCCGCUGAGGGCGCACACCGAAGUGCAAAGACAUACACACAAACAGAUAGACACAGAAAAUAGUUCUCGCACUCUCGGGAGAAAUAACUCCAGGCACACUUCAACCCCGGAUCUGCACUCUUGGGGGAGGGAGUGGGCGGGGAAACGCGCGCCUGCGCACUGACUCGCCCCAUGGCACCGGAGGAAAGAGGUCGGCCUCUGCGCGUGCGCACUCCCGCCCUUGGUCCCUCCCUCCUUCACUCACGCACGGGUUUAGCCCCUGGAGCCGCACCCGUGCCCUGACUGGGAAUCUGGCCUCCUAGAAGGUACGAGGCUUCAUCCCUCUGACAUCCGGAAGGACGAUUCCCAUAAUGGGAGUUUACGUCAUUCUGCACCUGAUGGGAGGGGCUCCCGAUGCAUUCUGGGAAAUGAAGUUCAGAGACAGAACGGCCCUUCCUGGACCAAACUGCGCAUGUGCCUUCCGGGAUGACAGUCACCCAGAUGAUCCUCUCCCAAGUGGAGCUCCUGCGCCUGCGUACUAGGAAGGAGUCAACCUGUCUUUCAGCCGCCUCUUCUUCCCCUAGAGCCCCAGCCCCGCAGGAAUCCGCCUGAUGUGGAGCCCCAAGAGCUGAGAAUGAAGAGGACGGUAUGCAGGGAGGAAGACCCGACAGACAACCCCUAGAAGCAGCUUGCAGCCGAGGUCCUGAGGAGUGAAAGGGGCUCAAAAGGAGUGGAAGUUCAAGAAGACCAUUCAGAGGAGACCGAGGGGCAUCUUCGUGCAUACUUCCGUAGCUUGGGGAGCUCAUCAUCGUCCCCUUUCCUGGAGUGCACUACUACUCGGCGAUGCUCCAUCCUUGAGGAUACUGCCUCGGCUCCCCAGUGCCCCCAAGUGAAACUCUCCUGUCCAUAGGAGGCUGCCAACAGGAGGUAUGGUGGAUAGGCUUAAAGCCACCCUACUUUGGCUACUACAGCUGAGGGGGAGGCAGGAGAGAAAGUAACUGUCUAGGAGUCUGAGGGCAGCCUCGCUGUAACGAAUCUGGAGCCCCUUUCCCUUGUUUGGAGGAAUUUCCCAUCAUCCCUUCCUGGAGGAGCUUCUUUUAAAGGACUCAUUGACAAGAGGUGGGAAUGAGGCUGACACCUUCCAAGUUCCCUUGGCUGGAUUCCAUUUGGUUGACCUUGCCAUUUCAGUGGGAUAUGACUCAAUUCCCAUGACACUCAAGCUCUUUUCAAAAGGCUUUGACCAAUCAGUUUCAGUCUUUUCAGUCCUCAGUUUCCACAUUUGUAAACAAUGGGAGGGAUUAUAAAGUUUCUCCCAGAUUCUGACCUCUGCCUUUGGGUUUAUUAAAGCCACAAAAGCUAAGAUGAUGCCUUGUUUGUGAUAUCUGAGUGGGUAGGGGCAAACCAAACCUGUCCCCCUUAAAUUUAGGGCUUUAAGGAACCAACACCAUUUUUAUAGAUGAAGAAACAGGCAAAGAGAGACUGAGUUACCUGCCCGGAAUUACACUGUCACAAAUUUUUCUGAGGCAGAAUUCAAACUAGGAUCUUCCUGUCUCUAGCCUCCAUGUGAGGUAUCGUGGCAAAGUGGAUAGAGCCCCCAGCCUAGAGUCAGGAAGAUCAGACACUUCCUAGCUGUGUGACCCUGGGCAAGUCACUUAAUCUGUUAUCUUCAGAUUUUCAACUGAAAAGUAGGGGUAAUUGUAUCUACCUCCCACAGGUAACUUUUGGAAAUACAAAUAAAACCAAAGUAUCCCUGUCUUUGUGGGUUUAU